This 497-nucleotide ribosomal RNA is filed under the name uncultured bacterium. Its description in RNAcentral is "partial 16S ribosomal RNA". It matches the Rfam family "Bacterial small subunit ribosomal RNA", at positions 28 to 507 of the family's 1533-position model. The record is from RNAcentral.
GAUGAACGCUGGCGGCGUGCCUAAUACAUGCAAGUCGAGCGAACAGACGAGGAGCUUGCUCCUCUGACGUUAGCGGCGGACGGGUGAGUAACACGUGGAUAACCUACCUAUAAGACUGGGAUAACUUCGGGAAACCGGAGCUAAUACCGGAUAAUAUAUUGAACCGCAUGGUUCAAUAGUGAAAGACGGUUUUGCUGUCACUUAUAGAUGGAUCCGCGCCGCAUUAGCUAGUUGGUAAGGUAACGGCUUACCAAGGCGACGAUGCGUAGCCGACCUGAGAGGGUGAUCGGCCCCCCUGGAACUUAGACACGGUCCAGACUCCUACGGGGGGCAGCAGUAGGGAAUCUUCCGCAAUGGGCGAAAGCCUUACGGGGCAACGCCGCGUGAGUGAUGAAGGUCUUCGGAUCGUAAAACUCUGUUAUUAGGGAAGAACAAAUGUGUAAGUAACUAUGCACGUCUUGACGGUACCUAAUCAGAAAGCCACGGCUAACUACGUG